RNAcentral lists this transfer RNA (75 nucleotides) under Tolypothrix brevis GSE-NOS-MK-07-07A. Its description in RNAcentral is "tRNA-Leu". It matches the Rfam family "tRNA". From Rfam's summary of the family: Transfer RNA (tRNA) molecules are approximately 80 nucleotides in length. Their secondary structure includes four short double-helical elements and three loops (D, anti-codon, and T loops). Further hydrogen bonds mediate the characteristic L-shaped molecular structure. tRNAs have two regions of fundamental functional importance: the anti-codon, which is responsible for specific mRNA codon recognition, and the 3' end, to which the tRNAs corresponding amino acid is attached (by aminoacyl-tRNA synthetases). tRNAs cope with the degeneracy of the genetic code in two manners: having more than one tRNA (with a specific anti-codon) for a particular amino acid; and 'wobble' base-pairing, i.e. permitting non-standard base-pairing at the 3rd anti-codon position. Lineage: Bacteria; Bacillati; Cyanobacteriota; Cyanophyceae; Nostocales; Tolypothrichaceae. RNAcentral also lists the same sequence under 1 other name. The record is from RNAcentral.
GCUCCUGUAGCCCAAUUGGAACGAGGCGCUGAUCUUAAAAAUCAGAUGGUACUGGUUCAAAUCCAGUCAGGAGCA